Molecule: ribosomal RNA, 767 nt
Filed under: Klebsiella pneumoniae
Lineage: Bacteria; Pseudomonadati; Pseudomonadota; Gammaproteobacteria; Enterobacterales; Enterobacteriaceae
Description: bacterial SSU rRNA
Rfam family: Bacterial small subunit ribosomal RNA
Source: RNAcentral
GGAGCAAACAGGAUUAGAUACCCUGGUAGUCCACGCCGUAAACGAUGUCGAUUUGGAGGUUGUGCCCUUGAGGCGUGGCUUCCGGAGCUAACGCGUUAAAUCGACCGCCUGGGGAGUACGGCCGCAAGGUUAAAACUCAAAUGAAUUGACGGGGGCCCGCACAAGCGGUGGAGCAUGUGGUUUAAUUCGAUGCAACGCGAAGAACCUUACCUGGUCUUGACAUCCACAGAACUUUCCAGAGAUGGAUUGGUGCCUUCGGGAACUGUGAGACAGGUGCUGCAUGGCUGUCGUCAGCUCGUGUUGUGAAAUGUUGGGUUAAGUCCCGCAACGAGCGCAACCCUUAUCCUUUGUUGCCAGCGGUUCGGCCGGGAACUCAAAGGAGACUGCCAGUGAUAAACUGGAGGAAGGUGGGGAUGACGUCAAGUCAUCAUGGCCCUUACGACCAGGGCUACACACGUGCUACAAUGGCAUAUACAAAGAGAAGCGACCUCGCGAGAGCAAGCGGACCUCAUAAAGUAUGUCGUAGUCCGGAUUGGAGUCUGCAACUCGACUCCAUGAAGUCGGAAUCGCUAGUAAUCGUAGAUCAGAAUGCUACGGUGAAUACGUUCCCGGGCCUUGUACACACCGCCCGUCACACCAUGGGAGUGGGUUGCAAAAGAAGUAGGUAGCUUAACCUUCGGGAGGGCGCUUACCACUUUGUGAUUCAUGACUGGGGUGAAGUCGUAACAAGGUAACCGUAGGGGAACCUGCGGUUGGAUCACCUCCUU